RNAcentral lists this ribosomal RNA (1065 nucleotides) under uncultured cyanobacterium. RNAcentral describes it as "bacterial SSU rRNA". It matches the Rfam family "Bacterial small subunit ribosomal RNA", at positions 473 to 1533 of the family's 1533-position model. The record is from RNAcentral. Lineage: Bacteria; Bacillati; Cyanobacteriota.
CGGUACCUGAAGAAAAAGCAUCGGCUAACUCCGUGCCAGCAGCCGCGGUAAUACGGAGGAUGCAAGCGUUAUCCGGAAUCAUUGGGCGUAAAGGGUCCGCAGGUGGCGAAUAAAGUCUGCUGUUAAAGACCGGGGCUUAACUCCGGAAAGGCAGUGGAAACUGAUUAGCUAGAGUAAGGUAGGGGUAGAGGGAAUUCCCAGUGUAGCGGUGAAAUGCGUAGAUAUUGGGAAGAACACCGGUGGCGAAAGCGCUCUACUAGGCCGAAACUGACACUGAGGGACGAAAGCUAGGGUAGCGAAAGGGAUUAGAUACCCCUGUAGUCUUAGCGGUAAACGGUGGAUACUAGGUGUAGCUUGUAUCGACCCGAGCUGUGCCGAAGCUAACGCGAUAAGUAUCCCGCCUGGGGAGUACGCACGCAAGUGUGAAACUCAAAGGAAUUGACGGGGGCCCGCACAAGCGGUGGAGUAUGUGGUUUAAUUCGAUGCAACGCGAAGAACCUUACCAGGGCUUGACAUGUCGCGAAUCUAGCGGAAACGUUAGAGUGCCUUAGGGAAUGCGAACACAGGUGGUGCAUGGCUGUCGUCAGCUCGUGUCGUGAGAUGUUGGGUUAAGUCCCGCAACGAGCGCAACCCUCGUCCUUAGUUGCCAAUAUUAAGUUAGGCACUCUAGGGAGACUGCCGGGGACAACUCGGAGGAAGGUGGGGAUGACGUCAAGUCAGCAUGCCCCUUACGUCCUGGGCUACACACGUACUACAAUGGUUGGGACAAAGGGCAGCAAGCUCGCGAGAGUAAGCGAAUCUCAUCAAGCCCAGCCACAGUUCAGAUUGCAGGCUGCAACUCGCCUGCAUGAAGUAGGAAUCGCUAGUAAUCGCAGGUCAGCAUACUGCGGUGAAUUCGUUCCCGGGCCUUGUACACACCGCCCGUCACACCAUGGAAGCUGGCUACGCCCGAAGUCGUUACCCUAACCCGGUUUUGGGAGGGGGAUGCCGAAGGUAGAGCUAGUGACUGGGGUGAAGUCGUAACAAGGUAGCCGUACCGGAAGGUGUGGCUGGAUCACCUCCUUU